GAUGAACGCCGGCGGCGUGCUUAACACAUGCAAGUCGAACGGUGAAGCAGGAGCUUGCUCUUGUGGAUCAGUGGCGAACGGGUGAGUAACACGUGAGCAACCUGCCCCUGACUCUGGGAUAAGCGCUGGAAACGGCGUCUAAUACUGGAUAUGUGAUGUGACCGCAUGGUCUGCAUCUGGAAAGAAUUUCGGUUGGGGAUGGGCUCGCGGCCUAUCAGCUUGUUGGUGAGGUAAUGGCUCACCAAGGCGUCGACGGGUAGCCGGCCUGAGAGGGUGACCGGCCACACUGGGACUGAGACACGGCCCAGACUCCUACGGGAGGCAGCAGUGGGGAAUAAUGCACAAUGGGCGGAAGCCUGAUGCAGCAACGCCGCGUGAGGGAUGACGGCCUUCGGGUUGUAAACCUCUUUUAGCAGGGAAGAAGCGAAAGUGACGGUACCUGCAGAAAAAGCACCGGCUAACUACGUGCCAGCAGCCGCCGUAA
This 484-nucleotide ribosomal RNA is filed under the name uncultured bacterium. RNAcentral's name for it is "partial 16S ribosomal RNA". It matches the Rfam family "Bacterial small subunit ribosomal RNA", at positions 28 to 523 of the family's 1533-position model. The record is from RNAcentral.